Long non-coding RNA from Cyprinus carpio carpio, 565 nucleotides. The record is from Ensembl. Lineage: Eukaryota; Metazoa; Chordata; Actinopteri; Cypriniformes; Cyprinidae.
GUGUUCUAAAACUGGCUGAAACAUGUUUUACUUCCUCUGACACAAAGAAAUCGAAGUCUGAAGUUAAAAAAAUUGAGUCUGCAUGCAUUAUGCACUAUGCGAUUUUCUGCAAAAGCUGUCAACUAGCAGCUCAGUAUCUAUCUAUAACUUUCUCUCUGGCUCUGACGCAAUUAGUGUCAAAGCAUAAUGGCUUCAAGUCAAGGCAAAAGUCAAGCAUUCCAGGAUAGAGUGGAUUAAAGCACAUGGAUACUGGACUCUGGAGCAGUGGAAACCUGUUCUGGGAAGUGAUGAAUCAAGCUUCACUGUUUGGCAGACAGAUGGGCAGGUCUGGGUUUGGUGGAUGCCAGAAGAACGUUACCUGCCUGACUGCAUUGUGCCAGCUGUAAAGUUUGAUGGAGAAGGGAUAAUGGUAACUGCACAGGCAACCUGCAAAACUUUGUCUGCAAUGAGUGUGGAUGGUUUUUACUUGACCGUCUAUUCACUACAGUCCCUCCGAACACCACAGAUGGCUCUGUCUGUAUGCACCACUAUUUGAAUAUAAACACAAGAACAAGCGAGCCUCUCC